UCAUUCCUUAGUACGAGAGGACCGGGAAUGACGUGCCUCUGGUGUUCCGGUUGUCGUGUCAACGGCACCGCCGGGUAGCUAAGCACGGACUAGAUAAGCGCUGAAAGCAUCUAAGCGCCAAGCUAUUCCCAAGAUAAGAUCUCCAUUGGUCUUCGGACCAUAAAGGAUCCUGGUAGACUACCAGGUUGAUAGGUCGGAAGUGUAAGCAGGGCAACCUGUUGAGCUAACCGAUACUAAUGAUCCAAACCGUUUAGAUUC
This 258-nucleotide ribosomal RNA is filed under the name Opitutales bacterium. Its description in RNAcentral is "partial 23S ribosomal RNA". It matches the Rfam family "Bacterial large subunit ribosomal RNA", at positions 2671 to 2925 of the family's 2925-position model. Lineage: Bacteria; Pseudomonadati; Verrucomicrobiota; Opitutia; Opitutales. The record is from RNAcentral.